GGUUGGGGCCGGCAAAAGUCAUCUCUGGCUGGGCUACAUGUGGGGCACGGUGUGCUAUUUCUGAAUGUCCUGUGUCAUCCAGCAGGAGGUGGGAUCACAAAUAGAAAGGAGGAUCUGCAGAGCAGUGGUGUGGCCGAAAGGCAUUGGGGUAGUGGCUCUGUGGAAGAAAUCCAAAGGGAUGUCCAAGGGGGCCUGGAGCAAGGAGAGCACUUGAAGAAGCCACUGGGAAACCAUCCAGGAAAGAGAGUGAGGAACCCCCUGGGCUGCAGCACAGGUCAGGAGCAGCUGGAAGACCUAAGGAGCAAGGAAGGGUGCCAGAAGAAAAGGCAGAAUCGGUGUGAUGAGUUUGGGAAAAGCUUUAAGAGGUAUUCCAGCCAUGUUAACCAUCAAAGUAUUCAGCCUGGGGAGAGACUAUGCAAGUGUUGUGAUUGUGCAAAGAGCUUCCGAAGGAGUUCUGACCUCAUUGUCCAUCAGCGCAUGCACAGAGCAGAGAACUGCUUUAAGUGCCCUGAGUGUGGGUAGGGCUUCAGUCGCAAUUUCAACCUCAUCUGCCACCAGCGCAUCCACACAGGAGAGAGACCCUACAAGUGCCGUGAGUGUGGNAAGGGCUUCAGAAGCAGAACUGAACUCAUCUGCCACCUGCAAAUCCACAAAGGAGAGGGACCCUACAAGUGCGCUGAGUGUGGGAAGGGCUUCAGUUCCAGUUUCAACCUCAACCGCCACUGGCGCAUCCACACAGGAGAGAGAUUCUACAAGUGCGCUGUGUGUGGGAAGGGCUUUAGUAGCAGUUCUUCCCUCUACUCCCACAAGCACAUCCACACAGGAGACACAAUGUAGCAGUGCCCUGAGUAUGUGAGAAGCUUCACAAGCACUUCCAGCCUCCUUAUCUACCUGCACAUCCACCCAGGACACAGAGCCUGCAAGUGCUCCCAACAGCAUGCACCUUUCCCUGACAGUGAAUGCAUGGUUUCAUCAAGUGGAGUCAUGGUGUAGAGAGCAGGCAGCUCUUGGUGUAAAGAAGACGUGUCCCAGUGGGCGUUCACUUGAAGAUAGCACUGUGAGCCCAGCAGGGAAUAGUGCAUGUGAGUGAGAGCAGAGAAAUAUCAACUCUGGCCAUGUUCAGGCACCUGACCUUGGUUGUAGGGCAGACCCAGUCCCUCCCAUUCCCUUGCUUAUUCUGGAUGUAUCCGAUGAAAUUCUGUUUCCGUCUCCUCUCUUUUGCUUCCUCUCUUUCUCCGCUACCUGUAGAAUGGCUGCUUGGUGGCUUUUAGGAGUUAAUGGUUAAUUACCAUGAGCACAGCGUUAAGAGGACGGACGUGCUGUUUCUCUCGAGGAACAAAGUGUGUGUACCCUGACAACCAGCUGCUGCCCCUGGUAACAAAAAGGAUGCUAUGGAGAGGAUAAAAACACAAAGAGUUCUAAGGAAGAACGGGUACCUUCUCCUCUGAACUGCAGUCGUGCAGAAGAACGAGACGUCACUGAGCAACUUGCUGCCUCCUACGGACCAACGAGACAUUGCUGGAUCCCUGGUGCUGACUAUCCCCGGUCUGUAAAGCCUGUGCUAGAAUUUCUCUCUUUACCUUCGCCAGCUUCCCCGUCUCCCCCAUAUCCCUGAGUUGCUCAGAACUUGUAAUAAAUCAGUUGGACAACAUUGGCUUUGUUCGCUG
Molecule: long non-coding RNA, 1667 nt
Organism: Numida meleagris (helmeted guineafowl)
Lineage: Eukaryota; Metazoa; Chordata; Aves; Galliformes; Numididae
Source: Ensembl